Molecule: ribosomal RNA, 426 nt
Filed under: uncultured Comamonadaceae bacterium
Lineage: Bacteria; Pseudomonadati; Pseudomonadota; Betaproteobacteria; Burkholderiales; Comamonadaceae
Description: bacterial SSU rRNA
Rfam family: Bacterial small subunit ribosomal RNA
Source: RNAcentral
GGGGAAUAUUGCACAAUGGGCGCAAGCCUGAUGCAGCCAUGCCGCGUGUAUGAAGAAGGCCUUCGGGUUGUAAAGUACUUUCAGCGGGGAGGAAGGUGUUGUGGUUAAUACCCUGAAGUCAUGACGGUACCGUAAGAAUAAGCACCGGCUAACUACGUGCCAGCAGCCGCGGUAAUACGUAGGGUGCAAGCGUUAAUCGGAAUUACUGGGCGUAAAGCGUGCGCAGGCGGUCUUGUAAGACAGAGGUGAAAUCCCCGGGCUCAACCUGGGAACUGCCUUUGUGACUGCAAGGCUGGAGUGCGGCAGAGGGGGAUGGAAUUCCGCGUGUAGCAGUGAAAUGCGUAGAUAUGCGGAGGAACACCGAUGGCGAAGGCAAUCCCCUGGGCCUGCACUGACGCUCAUGCACGAAAGCGUGGGGAGCAAACA